Molecule: ribosomal RNA, 387 nt
Filed under: uncultured bacterium
Lineage: Bacteria
Description: bacterial SSU rRNA
Rfam family: Bacterial small subunit ribosomal RNA
Source: RNAcentral
AUUGAACGCUGGCGGAAUGCUUUACACAUGCAAGUCGAGCGGCAGCGCGGGGGCAACCCAGGCGGCGAGCGGCGAACGGGUGAGUAACAUAUCGGAACGUACCCCGUCGUGGGGGAUAACACAGCGAAAGCUGUGCUAAUACCGCAUACGACCUGAGGGUGAAAGCGGGGGAUCGCAAGACCUCGCGCGAUGGGAGCGGCCGAUAUCGGAUUAGCUUGUUGGUGAGGUAAAGGCUCACCAAGGCGACGAUCCGUAGCUGGUCUGAGAGGACGACCAGCCACACUGGAACUGAGACACGGUCCAGACUCCUACGGGAGGCAGCAGUGGGGAAUUUUGGACAAUGGGGGCAACCCUGAUCCAGCCAUUCCGCGUGAGUGAAGAAGGCCU